This is a long non-coding RNA of Coregonus clupeaformis (lake whitefish), 1567 nucleotides long. RefSeq lists it as uncharacterized. The transcript is spliced from 2 exons. The record is from RefSeq and is a predicted model, not a curated record. Lineage: Eukaryota; Metazoa; Chordata; Actinopteri; Salmoniformes; Salmonidae.
CUAGUGGCACAGCUAGCACUGCGAUGCAGUGCCUUAGACUACUGCGCCACUUCAACAAUGAUCCAUCUCAAGCAUAGUCUUGACUAAAUAUGAAAAGGUGUUUAUCUUUUAAAGUUCUAGCGUUCACCUCUCAUAAUAAACAGUUGUAGAUAGAGCCAAUCGACCAGCCUAGGCAAAAGGAUAUACUAAUAAUAAAUUGAUGGCCCAUUCACUGUACAUCCUGUUGACACUUGAUAAUAGGGGAGUACAUUUCCUUUCUCAAACCCCCCCAUAGUUACACUACAGUACAAUUUGAGGUUUAUGAGAAAACAUUUGGAAGGACAAAUUCUCAGGGCAGUAAAUAAAAAUCAAAUAAAACUUUGAGUAAAAAAAUGUUAAACCUUGCUGAAAUAUAAUGAGAAAUCCUUGAUAAAUGUGACCUGUACUAGUGGCAAGUGCUUAAACUAAAAUGUUGGGGUAAUUAUUUAGGCCCACAAUGGUCUCGUGUAAGACAUUUGUAUGUUCAUGUUUGCCUAUGUUAAGGACGCCACGCUGCUUUCUUAGUAAGUACCGGUUCCUCGUGAUUCGGCUCGCAGCACUGAGCUCGAACUCAGAACCUAUACCUGGCUAGCACACGUGACCGCCCUCAUUGACAACGUACCAACCGUUUGAGCUAUGGGAAAAUAUAUAAUUCGAUAACUCCAUCUGCGACAUUUCAAGCUAGCUGUGGCAUGAGUUUAUGUUGCUAGAGGGAAGUGGACUGUGAUGAGGGGAUGCAGAGGAUUGCUUCUUAGGGGGCUUUUCUGGACCAUUGCUGAGGUGUACUGGCGCUUUUACAGUCACUGAAGCAUCACCCAGGUGGGUGCUACAUUUCAGUAGUUGACGAUCCAGCCUACCUACGGAGGAGCUGCUGUGACUAACGAAGACAACGAGGUACCCGAUGAGCUCCGGUGCCUGUCUGUCAGAUGUCUCUACCUCUCUGCCUGGCUGUACCAUCUAUGGUCCCUCCUCUCAAGAUACUACCUUUCUCAACUGCUUAUUAUUUAAAGCUGUGCAACACCAUCACCCAAUAACUGCCAGAUCCCUACAUUUGUGUUGUUAAAUUGUUUUUGUUUAUUUUGUUUUUAAAGCGACUUUGAGAUUCUACUUGUAAUGAAAAGUGCUAUAUAAAAUACAUCUAUUAUUAUUUAUUAUUAAAGUCUUUUAGAAAAUAUAAGGUUAUGGCCUAAACCAGGGACCUUUAUCAUUGUAAUUGAGUUUAGGUUAGGAUAUUGAAAUAUUUUCCCUAUUCCAGUCAUAAAAAACAAAUGGUGGUAACCUGUGAAAGAAUUGCUAGACUAAUUCAAAGAUUCUCUGCACUGAUGUUAAUUCAUAAAUGACACUAGAUGGCAGUAAGUAGGCCUAUAAGAGAACAGAAUCAUUGCAUUGCAUUGGGUAGGUUUGUGGCCUUUCCAAUGUAAGUAUUUUAUAGUUCUGUCUCAAAUGGUGAUCAGGACUGUGUAUUAUGAUGUAGUAAUUGUUAGUGAAAUUGUGUGCACAGGUAUUUGGUUUUAAUGUUUCUCCCCUUAUGAAUAAACAUACAACCAUU